Molecule: long non-coding RNA, 209 nt
Organism: Leopardus geoffroyi (Geoffroy's cat)
Lineage: Eukaryota; Metazoa; Chordata; Mammalia; Carnivora; Felidae
Exons: 3
Source: RefSeq, a predicted model, not a curated record
GUUCAACUGCCAAGGUUUUCAUGUCACACUUCACUUGCCACUGAGGAAUUGGAUCAGGAGACAGACAGAUAUUGACCACAUGAGAAAGUGCCCUGUCCACCUUCAGAUAAAUUUUGAAUAAGGAAGAAAGCAAAGGAAAAUGCAGGGGGAACAAGGCAAUUGAGUCUCAGAGAAGUUAAUGAACUCUGCAAGGAUACGGAGAUUCCGAA